ACCCCCUCCUCACCAGCUAGCCCACCCCAAAACACAACAACCCCCAUUAAUAACCCCAAACACCAUAGCAACCCACAAAUAAAACAUUUUUCCCCCUCAGUAUGGGAGACAGAAAAGGGCCCCGGAGCCAUAGAAAAAGUACCGCAAGGGAAAGCUGAAAGAGAACUGAAAGAACCCAGUCAAGGUUAAAAAAGCAGAGCUUACCCCUCGUACCUUUUGCAUCAUGACUUAGCAAGUACUAUGCAAGCAAAAUGCUUUUUAGUUUGUAACCCCGAAACUAGACGAGCUACUCCGAGGCAGCCUAAUAAUAGGGCAAACCCGUCUCUGUGGCAAAAGAGUGGGAAGACCUUUGAGUAGUGGUGACAGACCUACCGAGCCUAGUGAUAGCUGGUUGCCUGACAAAUGAAUAGGAGUUCAGCCCUUUACUAGUCUCAAUUCCCCUCCCGGACUUAGUCACUUAGUGAUGAAGAGACAGCCAAAGGAGUUAUUCAAGAGGGGAACAGCUCUCUUGAAAAAAGAUACAACUUUAACACGAAGGCUAAAGAUCAAAAGACACAAACCAAAGUACCCAGGUGGGCCUAAGAGCAGCCAUCCUCGAGAAAAGCGUUAAAGCUCAAGUACUAAAUUCAUUCAAUACCGACAAUGUAUCUAAAGCCCCGCCCCCAAUCAGGCCUCUCCAUGCCCCCAUGGAGGAGAUAAUGCUAACAUGAGUAAUAAGGGAGCCCAGCCUCCCUCCUUAUCACCUGUGUACAUCAGAACGAACCCACACUGACAAUUACACGCCCCCCUCCCCGAGGGAAUUGUAACAAAACCCCCGAAGCAAGAAAAGCCUUCAUUAUUAAGCGUUAAUCCUACACAGGGGUGACCAGGGAAAGAUAAAAAGAAAGAGAAGGAACUCGGCAAACUUUAGCCUCGCCUGUUUACCAAAAACAUCGCCUCUUGCCCUCCAAGUAUAAGAGGUCCCGCCUGCCCAGUGACAACAGUUCAACGGCCGCGGUAUUUUUAACCGUGCGAAGGUAGCGCAAUCACUUGUUUCCUAAAUAGAGACCUGUAUGAAUGGCAUAACGAGGGCUAGACUGUCUCCUCUUUCCUAUCGAUGAAAUUGAUCUGCCCGUGCAGAAGCGGGCAUAACAACAUAAGACGAGAAGACCCUGUGGAGCUUUAGACGCGAAGGCAGCCCACGUCAAGAAAAUUGAUUAACCAGUGCUGAACACAGGGAUCCUGUCUUCCUGUCUUCGGUUGGGGCGACCAAGGGGAACGAAAAACCCCCAUGUGGAAAGGACCGGACCGCAACCACUUGCACCCCCUAAGAUAAGGCCCACCGGCCUAACAAGCAGAAUAUCUGUCCAAUAGAGACCCGGCUUACGCCGAGUAACGGACCAAGUUACCCCAGGGAUAACAGCGCAAUCCCCUCCUAGAGCCCAUAUCGACAAGGGGGUUUACGACCUCGAUGUUGGAUCAGGACUUCCUGGCGGCGCAACCGCUGUUAAGGGUUCGUUUGUUCAACGAUUAAAGUCCUACGUGAUCUGAGUUCAGACCGGAGCAAUCCAGGUCGGUUUCUAUCUAUGACUCCACCCUUUUCUAGUACGAAAGGACCGAAAAGGGGGGGCCUCUGCCCAAGGCAAGCCCCACCCCUAACCCAUGUUCCCCACUUAAAGGGGAAGCGGGGGGACCACUGGCCCCAAGAAACAGGGCUAA
This 1698-nucleotide ribosomal RNA is filed under the name Bathygobius cocosensis (Cocos frill goby). Its description in RNAcentral is "16S ribosomal RNA". It matches the Rfam family "Bacterial large subunit ribosomal RNA". The record is from RNAcentral. Lineage: Eukaryota; Metazoa; Chordata; Actinopteri; Gobiiformes; Gobiidae.